Molecule: ribosomal RNA, 301 nt
Filed under: uncultured bacterium
Lineage: Bacteria
Description: partial 16S ribosomal RNA
Rfam family: Bacterial small subunit ribosomal RNA
Source: RNAcentral
CAGUAGCCGCGGUAAUACAGAGGGUGCGAGCGUUAAUCGGAUUUACUGGGCGUAAAGCGUGCGUAGGCGGCUUUUUAAGUCGGAUGUGAAAUCCCUGAGCUUAACUUAGGAAUUGCAUUCGAUACUGGGAAGCUAGAGUAUGGGAGAGGAUGGUAGAAUUCCAGGUGUAGCGGUGAAAUGCGUAGAGAUCUGGAGGAAUACCGAUGGCGAAGGCAGCCAUCUGGCCUAAUACUGACGCUGAGGUACGAAAGCAUGGGGAGCAAACAGGAUUAGAUACCCCAGUAGUCCCUGUCUCUUACAC